This 591-nucleotide long non-coding RNA is filed under the name Nicotiana benthamiana. RNAcentral describes it as "long non-coding RNA (NBEN_LNC020811)". The record is from RNAcentral. Lineage: Eukaryota; Viridiplantae; Streptophyta; Magnoliopsida; Solanales; Solanaceae.
AAGCCGAAACCAGGAAUGUUGAGUCAGCAGAAACUGAUUGAAUCUACCCAAGUCGAGGAUAAGUGUGAGCUUCUUAGUGAAUCUGCUGUGGAUGUACCAGAAAUGAACGAAACAACCGACAGUCCAGCUGCUUCGAUGCCUAGUGAAGAAUCACAGGAGGAACCCGGUUUGGUACGUGACUUGGGAAAGAAUGGAAAAGUUGUGAAGCAACAAGGAAAAAGACCAAUCAGAAAUGUGAGAAAGACUAGAGCAAAUGCCUAGUGAAGAAUUAUCACAGGAGGAACCGGGUAUGGUACGUGAAUUGGCAAAGAAUGGAAAAGCUGUGAAGCAGCAAGGUAAAAGGCCAGUCAGAAAUGUGAGAAAGACUAGAGCAAAGAGUUAAAUGACGAGAUAUGUAGACCAGGCAGUCUGUACACCUGAAGCUUCUGUAUAUUAGCUUGAAGAGGAAAUUUAAGCUAUUUUAGGAGGAUACUUGCUUAAUUUAAGCUAUUGUAGGGACUCAUCUUUUCCUUUAUUUUUAGACCACGUAGCAAGGUGGGAAGUUCUUGGAGGGAAGGAUGCCGGGAUCUAUUUGGAAACAGCCUCUCUACC